GUGGGCUUGUUCCUCUGCUCUCUAAGUCUCUAGAACACAGAGAAAGAAAAGCUCAGUACGCACUUUCACUCGUGAUUUAGGGCGAUUUAGAGUUGGAUUUGGAAGAUGUUGAAGUUGAAGGAAAGAUAGAUCAAGUGUUAGGCAUUAUUUCAUCACUUUUUGGAGUCAUUUAGAGAUUCAGGAGUAGGAUUUGGCGUGCGAAGUGAACUACGAAGUUGAAGAUCGAGGUUGCAUGGAGGAUGGAAGAAGCUACAACAUAAGAGUGAAUCAUACAUGAAGAUUGCAGCAGAACAUAUUUUUGUAUGGACUACCGACAGCGAGGACGAAGACGAUAUCUUCAUGCCCAGCACCAAGGCCAAGACAACCACAUCAUCGAAGGGCAAGAGUUCUGUAUCAUCAAAGGGCAAGAGUUCUGCAUCGAAGGAGGAUGACGAUGAUGCCUUCAUGUAGUUUUUAAGCUAUAUUUUUAAUUAUUAAGUUCAGUUCUACCGUUUCAUUCAUAUGUACUUGCAUCAUUAGUUUGUAUUCUCUUAUUGUAGGGGCAUUAUGUUCUAUCUUAAUUUGAUGUUGUAGUUGUUGCACGACGUUCGAUAAUUAGUUUGUAUUAUGGCGGGAAAGAAGGAAAAAUUGGUGGGAAAGAAAA
This is a long non-coding RNA of Triticum aestivum (bread wheat), 643 nucleotides long. RefSeq lists it as uncharacterized. Lineage: Eukaryota; Viridiplantae; Streptophyta; Magnoliopsida; Poales; Poaceae. The transcript is spliced from 3 exons. The record is from RefSeq and is a predicted model, not a curated record.